Molecule: ribosomal RNA, 465 nt
Filed under: Vreelandella stevensii
Lineage: Bacteria; Pseudomonadati; Pseudomonadota; Gammaproteobacteria; Oceanospirillales; Halomonadaceae
Description: partial 16S ribosomal RNA
Rfam family: Bacterial small subunit ribosomal RNA
Source: RNAcentral
CCUACGGGGGGCAGUAGUGGGGAAUAUUGGACAAUGGGGGCAACCCUGAUCCAGCCAUGCCGCGUGUGUGAAGAAGGCCCUCGGGUUGUAAAGCACUUUCAGUGAGGAAGAACGCCUGGUGGUUAAUACCCAUCAGGAAAGACAUCACUCACAGAAGAAGCACCGGCUAACUCCGUGCCAGCAGCCGCGGUAAUACGGAGGGUGCGAGCGUUAAUCGGAAUUACUGGGCGUAAAGCGCGCGUAGGUGGCUUGAUAAGCCGGUUGUGAAAGCCCCGGGCUCAACCUGGGAACGGCAUCCGGAACUGUCAAGCUAGAGUGCAGGAGAGGAAGGUAGAAUUCCCGGUGUAGCGGUGAAAUGCGUAGAGAUCGGGAGGAAUACCAGUGGCGAAGGCGGCCUUCUGGACUGACACUGACACUGAGGUGCGAAAGCGUGGGUAGCAAACAGGAUUAGAUACCCCAGUAGUC